Molecule: non-coding RNA, 202 nt
Organism: Paramuricea clavata
Lineage: Eukaryota; Metazoa; Cnidaria; Anthozoa; Malacalcyonacea; Plexauridae
Source: the annotation of a GenBank genome assembly
ACACACUAUAUUUACUUCAUAUUUGCCAAUAUCUUUGCAGAAGUGCAAAUGUAUAAAAGAAUUUGCAAUAACUUUGCACCUAGCUGCAAAGAUGAAGCAAAUAUAGUAAACAGAUUUUACUUUAUUUUUGCUUGUAAAACUGUCUGUCUUUUGAAUGGAAACGGCUCCGCGGACCUUUUCAAUUCUGCAAACAUAUUUACAG